GGGGAAGUUGAUCCCACAGCCACGGAAAUAGCCAGAUACUCCUCUGGCCUUCCCUCCCACCCUGAGGGAGACACCCGGAGGAGCAGAUCCCCAGGGAAUUCAGAACAGCUGCCACGGAACCUCCCCUGAAACUGCAGGGGCAUUCCCGGCAUGCCUACUCAACAGCCUGAGGAGCUGAGGUUCUGGGAGGCCCGGUGACUUGCUGGAGGACAACACACAGGCACCAGCUGAGAGACAGAAUUUUUGGAAGAACUUAGGAAAGAAACUAAGAAAAGACAACAGCACACAGCAACAAG
Molecule: long non-coding RNA, 296 nt
Filed under: Homo sapiens (human)
Lineage: Eukaryota; Metazoa; Chordata; Mammalia; Primates; Hominidae
Description: BEAN1 antisense RNA 1
Source: RNAcentral